RNAcentral lists this ribosomal RNA (346 nucleotides) under uncultured bacterium. RNAcentral's name for it is "bacterial SSU rRNA". It matches the Rfam family "Bacterial small subunit ribosomal RNA", at positions 67 to 415 of the family's 1533-position model. The record is from RNAcentral.
CGGAUUUGAGGGGCUUGCUCCUCAAGUUAGUGGCGAACGGGUGAGUAAUGCGUCGGAACGUACCGAGUAAUGGGGGAUAACGCAGCGAAAGUUGUGCUAAUACCGCAUACGCCCUAAGGGGGAAAGCAGGGGAUCGCAAGACCUUGCGUUAUUCGAGCGGCCGACGUCUGAUUAGCUAGUUGGUGGGGUAAAGGCUCACCAAGGCGACGAUCAGUAGCGGGUCUGAGAGGAUGAUCCGCCACACUGGAACUGAGACACGGUCCAGACUCCUACGGGAGGCAGCAGUGGGGAAUUUUGGACAAUGGGCGAAAGCCUGAUCCAGCCAUUCCGCGUGAGUGAAGAAGGC